CAGCAGCCACGGGAAUACGUAGGUGGCAAGCGUCGUCCGGAAUUAUUGGGCGUAAAGGGCUCGCAGGCGGUUUCUUAAGUCUGAUGUGAAAGCCCCCGGCUCAACCGGGGAGGGUCAUUGGAAACUGGGAAACUUGAGUGCAGAAGAGAAGGGUGGAAUUCCACGUGUAGCGGUGAAAUGCGUAGAGAUGUGGAGGAACACCAGUGGCGAAGGCGACUCUCUGGUCUGUAACUGACGCUGAGGAGCGAAAGCGUGGGGAGCGAACAGGAUUAGAUACCCCCGUAGUCCCUGUCUCUUAUAA
RNAcentral lists this ribosomal RNA (301 nucleotides) under uncultured bacterium. Its description in RNAcentral is "partial 16S ribosomal RNA". It matches the Rfam family "Bacterial small subunit ribosomal RNA", at positions 509 to 809 of the family's 1533-position model. The record is from RNAcentral.